GGGCCCGUCGUCUAGCCUGGACUAGGAUGCGGGGUUCGGGACUCCCCGUGACCCGGGGUUCAAAUCCCCGCGGGCCCA
Molecule: transfer RNA, 78 nt
Filed under: Desulfurococcus mucosus DSM 2162
Lineage: Archaea; Thermoproteati; Thermoproteota; Thermoprotei; Desulfurococcales; Desulfurococcaceae
Description: tRNA-Pro
Source: RNAcentral